This 583-nucleotide ribosomal RNA is filed under the name Triticum aestivum (bread wheat). RNAcentral's name for it is "partial small subunit ribosomal RNA". Lineage: Eukaryota; Viridiplantae; Streptophyta; Magnoliopsida; Poales; Poaceae. The record is from RNAcentral.
CGCACGUGGAGGAAUUGGGAUCGGCGGAGGGGUGGAGUCGGGGGGCCAGGGGCCGCCGAGGGGGGAGCAGGAGUGGGAGAGGGAGAGAAAGAGAGAGGGGGGCGGUAACAGCUGGGGGUGCCAACCAAGCGGCGGAAGGAGAAGAAGCGGUAGCUGCACCUGCAGCCGCACGCGCGCGCCCGCCGUCUCGAACGACCGGCCGACGCACCGCGCGGGCACGACAUGACGGUCUUCUCGAACUAGGCGGCCGUGGCCGGUCCGAGAGCUGACUGCCCGAGCGGCCCAGCGGCGGGGAGUGCGGCGCGGCCGAUCCCCGCUCUUCCGCCUCCGCCCUCGCCGACGAAGCCCGGGGCUAGACCCCUCCCAUACUCCGUCCCCUCCUGCGGCAGGGAAAGCAAGGGAGAGACUAAGCGGGAGAAGGGAGAAAGGAGAAAGGUAGGGAGUGAAGCGGGAGUCCAGGCUCCGUUGCUCAAACGAAGGAGACGAGGCAAGUACAGUAACUCGAAAAAGGAACCGGUAUCGUGGUGUAAACGCCGUCGUGUGGUCUCAGUUAAACCAACUGAUCGUUGUCUCGUUUCCACUC